GCAACCGUGGUCUAGUGGCAGAAUUCUCGCCCGCCACGCGGGAGACCCGGGUUCGAUUCCCGGCGGUUGCA
Molecule: transfer RNA, 71 nt
Organism: Chrysochromulina sp.
Lineage: Eukaryota; Haptophyta; Prymnesiales; Chrysochromulinaceae
Rfam family: tRNA
About the family: Transfer RNA (tRNA) molecules are approximately 80 nucleotides in length.
Source: Rfam